ACUCCUACGGGAGGCAGCAGUGGGGAAUAUUGCACAAUGGGGGAAACCCGUGAUGCAGCCAUGCCGCGUGUGUGAAGAAGGCCUUCGGUUGUAAAGCACUUUCAGUAGGGAGGAAGGUAGUGUAGUUAACACCUGCAUUAUUUGUACGUUACCUACAGAAGAAGCACCGGCUAACUCCGUGCCAGCAGCCGCGGUAAUACGGAGGGUGCGAGCGUUAAUCGGAAUUACUGGGCGUAAAGCGCAUGCAGGCGGCCUGUUAAGUCAGAUGUGAAAGCCCGGGGUCUUAACCUCGGAAUUGCAUUUGAAACUGGCGAGGCUAGAGUCUUGUAGAGGGGUUAGAAUUUCAGGUGUAGCGGUGAAAUGCGUAGAGAUCUGAAGGAAUACCAGU
Molecule: ribosomal RNA, 388 nt
Filed under: uncultured bacterium
Lineage: Bacteria
Description: bacterial SSU rRNA
Rfam family: Bacterial small subunit ribosomal RNA
Source: RNAcentral